This 2545-nucleotide small RNA is filed under the name Pan troglodytes (chimpanzee). Its description in RNAcentral is "retained intron". Lineage: Eukaryota; Metazoa; Chordata; Mammalia; Primates; Hominidae. The record is from RNAcentral.
UGCUUUCUUUCCUGGCCACACUGCUACAAUCCAGUACUAACUAUCCAUGUCCAGGGUAAGGAUCGAGAUCGAGAAGCCCACACUGCCAGUGAAAAAGCUACGUCUUUACUGCAUAAAUUAGAGGAAGCAAUUUCGGAACAACGGAACCUUCAAACUAUAAAUACUGAAUUAUCGAACACUUGCCAGGCACUUCAGCAGAAGACAAGGAAACUGAAGACAACAAUUGAGUCACUUCAAAAGGAGUUCAUUGAAGGGGAACACCAUGGCUUGCUGUUUCAGAGCUUUUUAGAUGAGGAAUUUCCUCACUAUGAUUCCCUGUCCUGCACAGAUGCAAUUCAACAACCUCUUCAAGAAAAAUUGAAGCAGUGUUGCCACAAACUAUAUGGUGGUCAAGAAGCAAGAAUACAUCAGACACCCCUGACCUUGAAACAUACGUGCUGGUACACACCUCUGCUGGAUGCCUUAUCUCUGGAUAGUUUUACAGCAGUUCCAACUCUGGAAUCAACACCUUUCUCAGGUGUAGCCAACCAAAUCCACACUCUGUGUGAAAGGCCCACAUAUGGAGAAGUAAAGGAUGGUGCUUUGGAUGUAAGAAGGCAACACAAGUGCCCAGGCCCCACAAGUGGCCCCAACCCAGGAACAAAUCUCUCAGGCUGCAUCAGGAUGAAUGAUGACCCAAGUAUGGAAGAGAAUGGUGUUGAACGCGUGUGUUCUGAGAACCUGCUGCAGUCCAGGGAAUAUUCCUCACUACCAUUACCCAGACGCACUUCAUCGACAGACGGUACUAUAACUUCAAGUGGUAAGUGGAUUUGGAAAUAAUAUUAAAAUAGACUGUUAGUAUUAUAGCUUUCAGCCUGAUGUUCUGUGACCUGCUGGGGUGUGAGCAAAUGAGAAGAACAUAGGCAAAUACUCCUUUUGCAUAGUAUAGUUAAAUACACUAUACUAUAAUAUUAUGUGCAUAGUAUUCACACCAUUUGUUUCUCCUGUUGACAGAUCCUGGAUUAGAAAUUCUGAAUAUGGCUUCUUGUGACCUUGACAGUAACUCACUCUGUAAGAAAGAGGAGGAUACAAGAUCAGCUUCUCCCACGAUAGAGGCCCAAGGCACAAGUCCAGCUCGUGAUAAUAUUGCAUUCCAAGACUCUACGAGUAAGGAUAAAACCAUAUUAAAUCUGGAAGCCAAAGAGGAACCAGAAACAAUAGAAGAACAUAAAAAAGAACAUGCUUCAGGAGACUCUGUGGUUUCCCCUCUUCCUGUAACCACCGUGAAAUCGGUUAACCUUAGACAAAGUGAGAACACUUCUGCUAAUGAGAAGGAGGUGGAGGCAGAAUUUCUCAGAUUAUCUUUGGGAUUUAAGUGUGACUGGUUUACCUUGGAGAAGAGAGUGAAGCUUGAAGAGAGGUCCCGUGACUUGGCAGAAGAAAAUUUGAAGAAAGAAAUCACUAACUGUUUAAAACUAUUAGAGUCUUUAACACCUCUGUGUGAAGAUGACAACCAGGCACAGGAAAUCAUUAAGAAGCUGGAGAAGAGUAUAAAGUUUCUUAGCCAGUGUGCAGCACGAGUGGCCAGUAGGGCUGAGAUGUUGGGAGCCAUCAAUCAGGAAAGCCGGGUUAGUAAAGCAGUUGAAGUGAUGAUUCAGCACGUAGAAAACUUGAAGAGGAUGUAUGCCAAAGAGCACGCUGAAUUAGAAGAACUGAAACAGGUUCUUCUGCAGAAUGAAAGGUCUUUCAAUCCUCUUGAAGAUGACGAUGACUGCCAAAUUAAAAAACGUUCAGCUUCUCUAAACUCCAAGCCAUCUUCUCUACGAAGAGUGACUAUUGCCUCUUUACCCAGAAAUAUUGGAAAUGCAGGAAUGGUGGCUGGGAUGGAAAAUAAUGAUCGAUUCAGUAGGAGGUCAAGCAGUUGGCGUAUUUUGGGGUCAAAGCAGAGUGAACAUCGUCCCUCAUUACCUCGAUUUAUUAGCACCUAUUCCUGGGCAGAUGCUGAAGAAGAAAAAUGUGAACUAAAAACUAAAGAUGACUCAGAGCCACCUGGAGAAGAAACAGUAGAAAGGACAAGGAAGCCAAGUCUUUCUGAAAAGAAAAAUAAUCCAUCAAAGUGGGAUGUCUCUUCAGUUUAUGACACAAUAGCUUCCUGGGCAACAAAUCUCAAGUCCUCCAUCAGAAAGGCUAAUAAGGCCCUCUGGCUCUCUAUUGCAUUCAUUGUACUGUUUGCAGCUUUGAUGAGCUUCCUCACAGGCCAAUUAUUCCAGAAGUCUGUGGAUGCCGCUCCCACACAGCAAGAGGACUCAUGGAUGUCUCUAGAACAUAUCUUGUGGCCAUUUACCAGACUCCGACACAAUGGGCCACCACCAGUGUGACAGCAGGACAUCCUAAUAUAUGGAUCUUGAUUUUUAAGUUUCAGUAUCUGAACUUUGUAAAUUAGUAACUUUUAGCUGGGAAAGUAUAGCAUGAAACCAGAGGUUCUCAGAAUCACUGUAAGAUAGCUUACAUUUCCUCUUUUUGCCUUUAUCUCCCCAACUAAAAUACAAUGGGGAAGAAGUCUGCC